RNAcentral lists this transfer RNA (62 nucleotides) under Metastrongylus salmi. RNAcentral describes it as "tRNA-Lys". It matches the Rfam family "tRNA". Rfam says of the family: Transfer RNA (tRNA) molecules are approximately 80 nucleotides in length. Lineage: Eukaryota; Metazoa; Nematoda; Chromadorea; Rhabditida; Metastrongylidae. The record is from RNAcentral.
GAGAUGUUAACUUAAGUUAAAGUGUUAGAUUUUUAAUCUAAAAAUGUUUUUUCACGUCUUGG